UGGGGAAUAUUGGACAAUGGGGGGAACCCUGAUCCAGCGACGCCGCGUGAGUGAAGAAGUAUUUCGGUAUGUAAAGCUCUAUCAGCAGGGAAGAAAAUGACGGUACCUGACUAAGAAGCCCCGGCUAACUACGUGCCAGCAGCCGCGGUAAUACGUAGGGGGCAAGCGUUAUCCGGAUUUACUGGGUGUAAAGGGAGCGCAGACGGCUUGGCAAGUCUGAAGUGAAAGCCCGGGGCUUAACCCCGGGACUGCUUUGGAAACUGUGAAGCUAGAGUGUCGGAGAGGUAAGUGGAAUUCCCAGUGUAGCGGUGAAAUGCGUAGAUAUUGGGAGGAACACCGGUGGCGAAGGCGGCUUACUGGACGAUAACUGACGUUGAGGCUCGAAGGCGUGGGGAGCAAACAGGAUUAGACACCCUGGUAGUCCACGCGGUAAACGAUGAAUACUAGGUGUCGGGGGACAUAGUCUUUCGGUGCCGCCGCUAACGCAUUAAGUAUUCCACCUGGGGAGUACGUUCGCAAGAAUG
This 524-nucleotide ribosomal RNA is filed under the name uncultured bacterium. Its description in RNAcentral is "bacterial SSU rRNA". It matches the Rfam family "Bacterial small subunit ribosomal RNA", at positions 355 to 896 of the family's 1533-position model. The record is from RNAcentral.